GAUCAUGGCUCAGGACGAACGCUGGCGGCGUGCCUAACACAUGCAAGUCGAACGGACUGAUUUAAGAGCUUGCUCUUGAUGAAAGUUAGUGGCGGACGGGUGAGUAACGCGUGAGUAACCUGCCUUUCAGAGGGGGAUAACAUUCUGAAAAGGAUGCUAAUACCGCAUAACAUCUUAGUAUCGCAUGGUAUUGAGAUCAAAGGAGCAAUCCGCUGGAAGAUGGACUCG
RNAcentral lists this ribosomal RNA (228 nucleotides) under uncultured bacterium. RNAcentral describes it as "partial 16S ribosomal RNA". It matches the Rfam family "Bacterial small subunit ribosomal RNA", at positions 15 to 233 of the family's 1533-position model. The record is from RNAcentral.